UUGCAUUAACCAAGGGCAUUUUCUGGUAUUUUAAAUGUUUCACCAUUCUCUGUCUUUUGCUUUAUAUAUAUAGAUAAAACAAUUAUCCCUAAACUAAAGUUGAAUAAAUAUUUGAAAUAUAUUACUUCCUAUUGCCAAUUGGUUUCAGGGAUACUCGGAUUCUAUUGGAUCGGGUUAGCAUCAGGCAAACUCUCCAUUUUCUUUUUUCCUUUGUUGGGUAAACAAACACCAGCAAGAAAAAGAAAAGAGCAGUUUUCAACAUUGAAAACACAAGUCAAUAUAUGCAGCCCAGCACACGAACUAAACUUUUUUUUGUAUCUUUUUAUGCUUAUAGCAAGACUUAAAUGUAGGUUCUGCCACUCAUUCAUUCCGACACGAUGCCAUUUGAGAUGCUAGAGCUUAUGAGCACACACGUACAACAUUUCGAUAAGACAAGCAACCAGAUCGGUAGCUAAGCCCUCCUCCAGAACAUAGAAGCAUUCUUAGUUCUGCUAGUGUUACCAUUAUAGAAUCUUAAUGCUGGUAAAUGGUAACGUAAAAAAUGUUGCAAGAUCAUGUGAGCCAUAUGAGUAUCCUUAGUUCUGGUAAAUAUCAGAACCGGACUCCCAUCAUCUUGCAGCUUCAUCUGCAAUCUCCAGUGACAGAAAAUGAUACUUCUAAACAUUUGCUCUUCCCACCGGCAUGAAAUCCAUCACCGUAGUCGCAGGAGAAAUGGCACCACCACAUGCUACAAACGUCGAUUCUGCACAGGAGAGAUGGCACUUGUUUAACUCUCUUGCAUGCAGAACUGGAAGAGGAAAGCACUGCAUGAAUAUUGCAGCAACGAGUAAAACAUUACACUCAAAACUUGUGUGGGUUGAGAUUUUUCUCUUUCUGUGCUCUACAUAUAUAGACAGAAAGAUCUUUUCUAGAUAAGGUAAAGCUAAGUAAAAAAAACAAAAGCCUUUUUAGUAAUUGGUUGCUUUUUCUUUGCUUUUGGUUUUGCUUUCGAUAGUUGUUUUCCAUUUCUCAAUCAUUUUUUUUUAACCUUUGUCAAUGGUGCGGCCCUCAUCACAUCAUCGUUGAAAAUGAGUAGCAACAUGAUUAUUGUUUCAACUCCACUGACAGCGGUGGAAAUGCAACAAUAAUGCAACAAUAAUGCAACAAUAAUGAUUCAGAAUUCUAACCUAAUACACAGAACUAGGACCUUUUGGUUGGGCCAAUGCAAGCUUUCAGCUUGCCCAUUAGUGAUGCACAUCUCUUCAUACAAAAAUGAAUCUUCCUUUCUGCUUAGGGAGACUCUAGAGAACUUAACUGCACCAGCAAGAACAGUCCGGCAUCUAUUUUGAUUCACUUGGGUGGUCCAGUGGUAAACAUUAAAAACAGUUCAUUUCAAAUAUAAUCAUAUGCAUUUCGCCUACAAAAUUAGUUGCUAUGCCGUUUUCUGGACACACCUAUUUUAAUCUUUUUCUUUUCUAAUUUUGCUGCCCCUGUUCGCUCUAUACUGAAAAUGGAAGGCAACAAAAAAGAUUCCCAUACGCCAGUCCUCCCCUAAUUAGCCAUUAACAAGAUGAUGAGAACAAAUAUCAUGCUAGUGAAUCUUGAAGAACCAAAAACGAAUGUCGAUCUCAAUUUACCCCGUGGAACUCAAAUUUUCCUACUUAACACUCUAGAACCUUACUUCAUGUCCCACUUUGUCUUAUUUCGUCAACUUCUUUAAUUUGCUGAUGUGGCAUGAGCCCACUUAUUUGUUGUAUUCGUCACACAUUACCACAUACACAAAAGUCAAUUUUUAUUUUUGUUUUGUUUUUGCCAAAGUUAGGAAGGGGGAAGGGGAAAACUCACACACACGGGUACCAUUAAGGUUUAAACACAUGAUCAGUUGGGAGCACACCAAAGGAGCCAAUCUAAUUAACACUCCAUUAAUACUUGUUAAAAAAACAAUUCAUGAAUCAUGUCCCACCUGAGUGAUGGUUUGGGUUGGGCGUGCUGAGGAAAAAAAUCCAAGUCUCAAAUGGAAUUCUAGGUGGUGAAGGAGAGAGAGAGAAUGAUGUUUGGGCAGGGGUGGUUGUUUGAGUUUUAAUAGCUGAAAUUAUUAAAAUGUUCAUGCCAUGUCAGCAAGUUAAACAAAUUUGUUAACAGAGUUGACGAAAUUAAGCAAAAUAGGACACAAAGUAAGAUUCUAGAGUGUUAAGUGAGAAAACUUGAGUUCCAUGGAGUAAAUUGAGAUCGACAUUUAAGUCAACACUUGGGUCCAAUUUGGGCCUACAGACGAUUUAGGUCUAAGGACUGCAUGUCCCACAAAAUUUAGGGAGCACGAGUACUUCCCUUUCUUUUCCGUAUUUAUAAUAUUGUCCAUAUAUUCUUUUUUAAAAAUUGAAGAAUCUGCAUAUGAAGUUCUGUGUUCAAAUCCCAUUCUUUUCAAUAUUGCUUGUAUUAAAAGAAAAGUGAAGAAUGUGUUCAUAAGAAAUGAAACAACACUAAGAAUUUGCGAACACUUCUGAAUGAGUUGCCCAACAUUUAUUUUGAACAAUGUCAGGGAGAUAGAGAACAUCAUGAAUGAAUUUGAAUUGCCCUCCUUUUGUUUGGACUUGAAGGACUCAUUUUCCUUCAGCUUUUUGCAAUUUUAUGUCUCCAAGCUUAACUUGGGAGACCACUUUUUCAUCUAGACAAGGGCGGAAUCAAGAAUUUUUUAAUGGGUGGGCUAGCGAAAGUUAUAGUUUAAAAUCUAAUGAUAAUUUUUUUUUUUUGGUACUAACAGUUUCUAUUUUUUUUUUAUAGAAAUAAAAGUAUACAUUAAAUCAUAUAAAUCACGUCACAAGAAAAAAAAAUGGAAUUAGAGCCAUAAUAUUCACAAAAGGGUGAAUUUUAUUUAGAAAAAAUGUUCUCUUUUGGAGAUACGUUAAUGGAAAAGGAUUAAAAUUGAUGUUUAGGACAAACUUUGACACCAAAUACAAAUGUGGAAGACUUUUGACUAUGCCUAUUGGUGUGGCAGGAUAUGCAAUUGUAUAUAUAUUUUUAUUUAUUUUUAGUGAAAUAUUAGGCUAUAUUUGUUUAAUUAUUUUUUUCCCCAAAACCUUCCCUAAGCUACAACAUGGCAACCCUUGGACUAGUUCCGCCCAUGCAUCUAGGUUGACAAAACAUUUUUAUUUUUCUAUCAUGUAGUUACUACAACCAUUGCCCCCAUCCCAAAUAUAAAGACAGAGUUGCAGUAGGGCUAAAAAUAACAUGGGACCCACCACUUAUAGGCCACGGAGACUCAUUGUCAAGGUGGAAACUUAAUGACAAUGCCAACAACUACCACAAUUAGUUAUUUUGUGGACAAUUCGUGACCAACACCCUUUGGUCACUGAUUGUCAGUGACCAACAUAAAUAUAGGCCACGAGCUGUCUGUGGCUUAUAAUGAGAUUUUCUAGUAGUGACUCUUGUCGUUGACUAUAACACCAAUAGAACAACUGGCAUGAUAAAUCUUUUUCUCCAUGUAAUUUACUUCAUAAACUAAAACUGAAUAAAUAUUAGAAAUAUAUUUAUGUCUUACUGUCUAUUGCCAAUUGGUUUCAAGGAUACUUGCAUUCUAUUGGAUCGGGUUAGCAUCAGGCAAACUCUCCAUUUUCGUUUUUCCAUUGUUGGGUAAACAAACAUCAGCAAGAAAAAGAAAAGAGCUGUUUUCAACAUUGAAAACACAAGUAUAUAGAUACACCAGCACACGAACUAAACUUUUUUUGUUUCUUUUUAUGCUUAUAUAGCAAACUUAAAUGUAGGUUCUGCCACUUAUUCAUUCCACCAGGAUGCCAUUUGAGAUGCUAGAGCUUAUAAGAGAAUGAACUCAAGAGGAAGAGAGGGGGAUGAGAACAGAGAGAUUAAGAAGAAUUGCCACAAUCAAGAUGAUACGUUCUCAGUAUUAUCUGCAGUAUAAAUAUUGGUACAUGGGUUAAACUUUCUCAACCCACAUAUAUUACAGAGGACUUGACAAUUAAUCAUUCUGGCUGAUGAAUGCCGUGCUUGUGGUUAGGAGGCUUCUAAGGCUGAUGUAAUGGGAUCAGCUGAUUUCAUGGGACUGACAGAUUGGAUGGGAUCUGCUGGUGUAGUAGUCUCUUUAGAGCUUAUGAGACGAACUACAUUUUGAAAAAACAAGCUACUAGAUCGGUUGCUAAGCCCUCCUCUUGGAUAUAGAAGCAUUCUUAGUUCUGCUAAUUUCACUGGUAAAUGGUAAUGCAAAAAAUGUUGCACGAUCAUGUGAGCCAUAUGAGUAUCCUAGGUUCUGGUAAAUAUCAGAACCUGACUCCCAUCAUCUUGCAGCUUAAUCUGCAACCUCCAAUGACAUAAAAUGAUACUUCUAAACAUUUGCUCUUCUCACCGGCAAGAAAUCCAUCACCAUAGUCGCAGGAGAAAUGGCACCACCAUAUGCUACAAACGUCGAUUCUGCACAGGAGAGAUGGCACUUGUUUAACUCUCUUGCAUGCAGAAAUGGAAGAGGAAAGCACUGCAUUUUUUGUUGCCCUCUAGGAUGAAUACUGCAGCAACGAGUAAAACAUUACUCAAAACUUGUGUGGGUUGAGAUUCUUCUCUUUCUGUGUUCUACUUAUAUAGAAAGGAA
RNAcentral lists this long non-coding RNA (4576 nucleotides) under Prunus persica (peach). Its description in RNAcentral is "long non-coding RNA (PPER_LNC000187)". Lineage: Eukaryota; Viridiplantae; Streptophyta; Magnoliopsida; Rosales; Rosaceae. The record is from RNAcentral.